CCUAAGAGAUACGUGUUAUGUGCAGUGCUCACACAGAUUGUCUGAUGAAGAACGAGCAAAAGCGCGUCUGCGAAGCUGACAGAAGUCCCCUUCGUCUAGAGGCCUAGGACACCGCCCUUUCACGGCGGUAACAGGGGUUCGAAUCCCCUAGGGGACGCCAAUGCGCGGUAUGAGUGAAAGGCGUACCACUUAUCUGACGAGAGUCAGAGAAUAACUAAGCUAAUUCAAAUGAGUUAUCUUACUUAUUAUGCUCUUUAACAAUCUGGAACAAGCUGAAAAAUUGAAAACAAAUCAAUAUAUCAACGAGGUAUAUUGAUGAGUCUCUCAAAAUCUCAAACCUUAAAGUUUGUCACGCAAAGUUUAUCUUUGAAAGAGACACUUUCGGGUUGUGA
This 392-nucleotide unclassified non-coding RNA is filed under the name Proteus mirabilis. RNAcentral's name for it is "partial 16S-23S ribosomal RNA intergenic spacer". The stretch from base 85 to 157 matches the Rfam family "tRNA". The record is from RNAcentral. Lineage: Bacteria; Pseudomonadati; Pseudomonadota; Gammaproteobacteria; Enterobacterales; Morganellaceae.